RNAcentral lists this ribosomal RNA (254 nucleotides) under uncultured bacterium. Its description in RNAcentral is "partial 16S ribosomal RNA". It matches the Rfam family "Bacterial small subunit ribosomal RNA", at positions 524 to 776 of the family's 1533-position model. The record is from RNAcentral.
UACAGAGGGUGCAAGCGUUGUUCGGAAUUAUUGGGCGUAAAGAGCUCGUAGGCGGUUUGUUGCGUCGGCCGUGAAAACCUGCAGCUUAACUGUGGGCCUGCGGCCGAUACGGGCAGACUUGAGUUCGGUAGGGGAGACUGGAAUUCCUGGUGUAGCGGUGAAAUGCGCAGAUAUCUGGAGGAAUACCGGUGGCGAAGGCGGCAUCCUGGACCGGCAUUGACGCUGAGUGAGCGAAAGCCAGGGGAGCAAACGGG